GAGGGAAUCACAAAAAACUUGUGGUUUGCUAUCAUUCAAUUGGUUCUUUACCAAUUUGUGAUACCUGAUGUUGUUAACACGAUGUCAGCCCUGUUCCUAAGGCUUCCAUUCUCACGCAGGAUGGAGAUGGAAGCAGAUUACAUAGGGCUGCUGCUGAUGGCUUCUGCUGGAUAUAACCCUCGUAUAGCUCCCUCAGUCUAUGAGAAGCUGGGCAAAAUUUCCGGGGAAUCAGCCUUGAGAGAUUAUCUGUCUACUCAUCCUUCUGGGAAGAAGAGAGCGCAGUUGUUGGCUCAGGCUAAAGUAAUGGAUGAAGCCCUUACAAUAUAUAGGGAAGUGCAGGCAGGAAAAGGGAUUGAGGGUUUCCUAUAGAGGAAAGGAUGAAAUGCACAGGCCAUGUGAGAGUAGGGAGCCGCCCAGUAGGAA
RNAcentral lists this unclassified non-coding RNA (423 nucleotides) under Hevea brasiliensis (rubber tree). Lineage: Eukaryota; Viridiplantae; Streptophyta; Magnoliopsida; Malpighiales; Euphorbiaceae. The record is from RNAcentral.